GAAGUAUCACCAUGUUGCCUACGCAGGUCUCGAACUCCUGGGCUCAAGCAAUCCUCCUGCCUCAGCCUCCUGAAUAGCCAGGACCACAGGUGAAACAUCCAGGAGCCUCUGAGAGAUGAAGUUUAUGCCCAGGUCACUUUGCUUAUGGUCUUCCAGCUGAGGUGUCAGCCUGGGGUGUUCAGCCCUGAUGGUCUCCUUGCAGCAGAAUUGUGGAUUCCCAAGGACCUCUCCUCCUUCUUCCUGGCUGCUAGAAGAAUAUUCCAGCCAGAGGAAACACUCAUUUGCAAGUACCUUGAGGUGGGAGCACACCUAACAGGAGCUCUUGAGUGAGGCUGCAGUGAAGUGAGUGGGGACAGAGUCACCAGAUGAGAUCAGAGAGUGAUGGGCACCAAAUCAUGUGUGACAUUGCUUUCCUACAAAUCCUGAACUACGUGGUUGCUCUUUGGAUGCCUCCCUCACUCCUAGAAGUCUCUGGCUGAGACCUGCUUUUUCUCCAGGCACUCAUCAAAAUGUAUCUACUUUUUUUUUUUUUGGACACCUUGCUCUUUCACCUAGGCUGGAGUGUAGUGGUCCAAUCUCGGCCCAUUGCAACCUUCACCUCCCAGGUUCAAGCAAUUCUCCUGCCUCAGCCUCCUGAGUACAGGCGCACGCGACUGGGACUACAGGCGCACGCGACUGGGACUACAGGCGCACGCGACUGGGACUACAGGCGCACGCGACUGGGACUACAGGCGCACGCGACCACGCCUGGCUAAUUUUUUGUAUUUUUAGUAGUGACAGGGUUUCACUGUGUUGCCCAGGCUGGUCUCGAACUCCUGAGCUCAGGCAAUCCGCCCGCCUCGGCCUCCCAAAGUGCUAGGAUUACAGGCGUGAGCCACCGCGCCCGGCCAAAAUGUAUCUACUUUUUACCUCUGCUCUCAGGGCCCUACCUUCUUUCCAACAUGGCAGUUACUACAUCAACCAAACCUUGAUAGUGGCUCCAUUUUGAAUACCUCUUAGCAGAGAUGAUAGUCUAAAGAUCUAACAAUUGACUUGGCACAGGCAUGAAUGAAUCAGAAUGGACACUGGUGGAGGCUCUGUGUUUGGAUGGCCCUUUUGUACCAGGUGUUACUCCUUUAGUUGCUGGCUCUUGGGCUAUUCAGGGGGAGCUGGGGGAAGGACUGUUGUGGGUUAGAUGGCAUAGAGAAAGUGCUGGAAGGGUCUCGGAAUAGGUUGCUCUUUGUCAGUUAGAAGUGCUUCAAUACAUUAACAACUGAUACCGCCUCAUGGUGUUGCUUCUGUAACUCUUGAAGGUUUUAUGUUUUAACAGAACACUCCUGCGUUCUUGUUCUUAUUCUAAAAAUAUGCCUUAUUCUAAAAUAAAGAAUAGAACUUUAGGUACAGUAGCAUGGUAAUGAGGAGAGACUUAGACCUGUAAAAUUUUAAAAUUUGUAUAUAGUCAAAAUAAUAGGCUUGUUUAUACUUUUUUUUUGCAUUAGAAGUCCUCUAUUUAUCAGUCAAAUGCUCAUGUAUAUUUUAUUUUUAAUGUUUUUAUAGGUGAAAUUUAUUCUGGUGUAUGGUAAGAUGUGAAGAUAGAAUUUGAAUUUUUUAAAAAAUAGCCAAUUCUCACAACACCAUUAUUGAAAAGUUGUCUUACAUUGACUUCGGUUUUAGGGCUGUCUAUACAAGUCUACUCUCUCUGUCCCGUCUUGCGUUGGCCCCGCACAGUUUUGAUUGUUGUGACUUCGUUAGCCCAUUUGACACUGGAUGAGACAGAAUAGUUCACUUUCACAUUUUCUCAGCUAUUUCUCUGAAUAAACUUUGGUAUAGUUUUGUUAAACUCUGUCUCUCCUGUAAACCCCUACCCCAUCGAUCUGAUUGCUAUUUUUAUUUUUUUACCACUUAAUACUAUCACAUUAUUGCUAUUUUAAUUAAAAUUACAUAAAUGUAAAUAUGAAAGAGGAAAGAAUUGACAUUUUUGCUCUAUUCAGUCUUACCACUUAGAAAUACUAUGUCCAAUAUUUACAUUUAAGCCUUUGUUUAUAUUUCUCAGUAAACUUUGAUAGUUUUCUUGAUAUAUUUCUUUUUGAGUUAUUCAUCAGUACCUGUAUUUUCCUUUUUCUGGUUCAGUUUUGUUACUGAUAUAAUUUUCCCUUUGGUGCCAACUAACUGGUUAUGGUGAAGGUGGGUGCUGGGAUCCUUUGAACUUCAUCGCCUGCUCUCUGCACUGGCAGGUGCUGACAGGUGGUCUCCAUAAUGUUCUCUGGACCACUUUCCCAUAAACAGAUUCUGACAGGAGUGCUCAAAGCCUGAAACUGACUAUGGUGCUUACCAAUGCAUUUUGGCAUAAUGUCCAAUUUGCUUCUGGUGAGCAAAGCUUAAGAGGAAAUAAAAAUAAUUGCCUAUUUUGACU
Molecule: long non-coding RNA, 2392 nt
Organism: Pan troglodytes (chimpanzee)
Lineage: Eukaryota; Metazoa; Chordata; Mammalia; Primates; Hominidae
Exons: 3
Source: RefSeq, a predicted model, not a curated record